GCCCGGCUGGCGUAAUGGUUAACGCGUGGGACUUCUACGGAUGUGUGAGUCUGUGAGUCAUCCCAAGAUUGCGAGUUCGAGUCUCGCGUCGGGUU
Non-coding RNA from Xylaria curta, 95 nucleotides. The record is from the annotation of a GenBank genome assembly. Lineage: Eukaryota; Fungi; Ascomycota; Sordariomycetes; Xylariales; Xylariaceae.